GCUGGAGUGCCACGUCGAGAGGCGUCGGUGGAGGGGGGCGCUGGCCCCCGCCCCAGGCCAACCGCCUUGGUUUGCCCACCAGGAUUGUUUCAAGAAAAUGGCAGACAAGCCGGACACGGGGGAAAUUGCCAGCUUCGAUAAGGCCAAGCUGAAGAAAACGGAGACACAGGAGAAGAAUACCCUGCCGACCAAAGAGACCAUUGAGCAGGAGAAGCGGAAUGAAAUUUCCUAAGAACCUGGAGGAUUCCCCAACCCCGUCAUUUUCAAGACCCUGGUCGUGAUGUGGAGGGAGAGCCACCUGCAAGAUGGACACGAGCGACAAGCUGCACUGUAAACCCGGGCCCACCGUGCCGAUGCCACCGGCCUGUGGGUCUCUAGGGACCCCCCAAUCGGACUGCCAAAUUCUCCGGUUUGCCCUGGGAUAUUAUAGAAAAUUAUUUGUAUGAUUAAUGAAAAUAAAACACACCUCGUGGCAAAAAAAAAAAAAAAAAAAA
Ceratotherium simum simum (southern white rhinoceros) is the source of this 494-nucleotide non-coding RNA. The record is from RefSeq and is a predicted model, not a curated record. Lineage: Eukaryota; Metazoa; Chordata; Mammalia; Perissodactyla; Rhinocerotidae.